Long non-coding RNA from Bicyclus anynana (squinting bush brown), 1076 nucleotides. RefSeq lists it as uncharacterized. The record is from RefSeq and is a predicted model, not a curated record. The transcript is spliced from 4 exons. Lineage: Eukaryota; Metazoa; Arthropoda; Insecta; Lepidoptera; Nymphalidae.
UUAGUAGCUCACGCCUGACAUAAUAUUUUGAUAAAUCUAAUACAUUUUUAGAUUUAAAUAUGACUUUAAUAACUGAAUAAAUACUUUUCUUCUACAAAAAUAUAGAGAGACACUCUCGUUGAAUAUUGUUUUAGUAACGUAUGGGUAAGAUUUUCUAAACGAAGUGUGGCAACCCCAAUUACUUAAUAAAAAAUAAAUAUGUUAUAAAAUGAAAAUGGCGUCAUUUCACCAAAUAAAACACGAAUUCACGAAUAAUAAAAUAAAUGUUUGCCACGGCCUGUUAAUAUUUAUGAAGACCUCUUCAUGGAUUGGAUUUAAGCAACCUGCUGUGUAAUAUCCUCGCCAUUCUUGAUGUUGAGAAGAUCUAUAAGUCUUUUGCGUUUCAUCUGAGUGUUGUGGUUUUUCAUUAUGUUAAAAAUAAGACUUUGUUAGUUCAAGUGUCUCUAUAACUAUGAAGAAGAACAAAAGAAAAUGCUUUGAGUGUGGUUCUUCGCCUGCCGAUGAUCCAGAGAAGACCCUACAGAGAUUACAGAAAUUUGAUUCUACAAAUUUAGUCUCCGUAAUGUCCAGAUAAUCAAUGAUUAGACUAUUGGACUUUUAGAAUAAAUUUUACAUUGAACUAUGAAUGGUUUGUCAUCUACAUUUUUAAAAAAGACGAGAUGUUUUGCCUGUAAGAACAAGAGAGAGAGAGAAUAAGAAGCAAUCCUGCUUCUUCACAUGAAUUUUACCCGCAUGACGACGGUUUUUAAUAUAAAAAAUAUUUACACAAUGUCUCAAAAAGCAAUCAAAGCUUUCAAAAAUAAACAAUGUUCGUAGAAGUUCAGUACCAAGAAACUCACAAAAAAUGAGCCCAAAAUUUAGCAUUACUUGUAAGCCAGACUAAGAAAUUUCAAGAAGAUAAUUUAAAAGAAGACAAUAGAAUAAAAUAAUAUUAACACACAAUGCUUAGCAAAUAUAGCAUUAACAGAUGGAAACCAGGCAAUAGGUGUAGCAAAAUAGAAGAUGAAGGUCUAGCUGUGCCAGUCAGUGCUGAGCCACACAGUUCCUGCUGGCAUGUUUCCAAAAUAGCACAAGGU